This 69-nucleotide antisense RNA is filed under the name Streptantibioticus cattleyicolor NRRL 8057 = DSM 46488. RNAcentral's name for it is "Streptomyces cattleya NRRL 8057 ASpks TB sRNA". It matches the Rfam family "ASpks TB sRNA". Lineage: Bacteria; Bacillati; Actinomycetota; Actinomycetes; Kitasatosporales; Streptomycetaceae. The record is from Rfam by way of RNAcentral.
CUUCAGCGAACCCAGCCACAGCGGGGUUUCGCGGUCCUGGCCGUAGGUGGCCAGCAGCGCCUGGGCUUC